RNAcentral lists this ribosomal RNA (497 nucleotides) under uncultured bacterium. RNAcentral describes it as "partial 16S ribosomal RNA". It matches the Rfam family "Bacterial small subunit ribosomal RNA", at positions 28 to 507 of the family's 1533-position model. The record is from RNAcentral.
GAUGAACGCUGGCGGCGUGCCUAAUACAUGCAAGUCGAGCGAACAGGUAAGGACCUGGCUCCUUGGACGUUAUCGGCGGGCGGGUGAGUAACGCGGGGAUAACCUCCCGAUAAGACUGGGAUAACUUCGGGAAACCGGAUCUAAUACCGUAUAACAUAUUGAACCAUAUGGUUCAAUUGUGAAAUGCAGCUUUGCUGUCACUUGUUGGUGGAUCCUCGUCGUAGUUGCUAGUUGGGAAGGUAACGGCUUACGAAGGCAAGGAUAAGUAGCCGACCUGAGAGGGUGAUCGGCCAAACUGGAACUGAGAAACGGUCCAGCCUCCUCCGGGAGGCAGAAGUAGGGAAUCUUCCGAAAUGGGCGAAAGCCUGACGGAGAAACGCCGCGUGAGUGAUGAAGGUUUCCGGAUCGUAAACCUCUGUUAUAAGGGAAGAACAAAUGUGUAAGUAACUGUGCACAUCUUGACGGUACCUGAUCAGAAAGCCACGGCUAACUACGUG